AGUUUUAAACGGCCGCGGUACUCUGACCGUGCAAAGGUAGCAUAAUCAUUUGCCUUAUAAUUGAAGGCUGGAAUGAAUGGUUUGACAAGAAUACAGCUGUCUCUUUUAGAUUGUUUAGAAUUUUAUCUUUGGAUGAAAAAGUCCAAAUGUUAUUAAAAGACAAGAAGACCCUAUCGAGCUUUAGAGAAAUUAAUAGAUUUAAUAUGAAUUAAUACAAGUAAAAGACAUAACUAUUAAAUACUUUGGUUGGGGCAACCGAGGAGCAGAUAAAGCCUCCUUUGUUUUAUAAGUCUUACUUGUGUUGAUCCAGAAUUUUUGAUCAAAGGAAUUAGUUACCGUAGGGAUAACAGCAUUAUCUUUUUUGAGAGCUCAUAUCGAAAAAAAGGUUUGUGACCUCGAUGUUGGACCAGAUUAUCCUAAAAAUGCAGAAGUCUUU
This 436-nucleotide ribosomal RNA is filed under the name Conus catus. Its description in RNAcentral is "partial 16S ribosomal RNA". It matches the Rfam family "Bacterial large subunit ribosomal RNA", at positions 1919 to 2566 of the family's 2925-position model. Lineage: Eukaryota; Metazoa; Mollusca; Gastropoda; Neogastropoda; Conidae. The record is from RNAcentral.